UAUUGGGCAUCGAAAUAUAAAGAAAGGAAGGGGCCCAACCUUGAAGAAGAACAUAUAUUCAAGUAGUGGUGGGCCUAAAAUCUGCAUUACCCUUAAUGAAUAUGGACAACCAGUUGGUAGGAACAACAAAGAGUUUGGUAAUUUCAUAGGAACUUUGGUGAGGAAAAAUAUCCCGGUUUCUUGUGAGGAUUGGAGACUAGUUGAUUCUAAAAAGAAGUUUGAGUUAUGGACAAAAGUGAAGGAAUACUAUGAAGUGGAUGAAUCUGGUAUAGAUUAUGUUAUAACAUCUGCAG
Long non-coding RNA from Zea mays, 293 nucleotides. RefSeq lists it as uncharacterized. The transcript is spliced from 2 exons. Lineage: Eukaryota; Viridiplantae; Streptophyta; Magnoliopsida; Poales; Poaceae. The record is from RefSeq and is a predicted model, not a curated record.